Molecule: long non-coding RNA, 6020 nt
Organism: Drosophila subobscura
Lineage: Eukaryota; Metazoa; Arthropoda; Insecta; Diptera; Drosophilidae
Exons: 3
Source: RefSeq, a predicted model, not a curated record
AAAAAGGUCUCGGGUUGGCUCGUUCGUUACAGUUAUCUGGUGUUCGUUGCAGCGAUUCCUCAUAAAAAUUGUGUACGUGAAUCUAGGCAGCAGUAAAGUCGCAAUCAUGUGCAAGGCUGUUAUAGAUUGUAAUGAAAUAAUGAAGGAUUGGAAGAGUGUGAGAAGACGAUGAGCAAACGGCCUUCAAUUCACUGAAAUGGUGUGAGUCAUUGGCGCUGCUUCAAUGAAAUCCAUGCUGAACGCCACCAGAAAGAGGCUUUGGUUCAGGAUUCACACUCGUUUCCUGCUCCUCGAAACGUUAAUGGCAACGAUGAGGAGGAAUGGAAUACUUGAACAAGCAACAACGUCAACAGCCUGAAGUUGAAACCAAAACCGAAUUGAAAUGUCAUAAAGUGGCUUAAAAAGAAGUUACGUCGAUCAUCUGUUCGACGAUGGUUUGUUAUUGAGUUACUGAGUGAGUCUUCACGUCUGUCCGUGUCUUCCCCAACCUCAACGCUUGGCAGCGAGUUCCGUAAAACAGCCGAUGGCCGACUCUACACAGAUCGCAGGAGCAGCGAGCAGCAGCAGCAACCACCACCGAGUCUCCCCAGCAUGACAUGAAAAUGCCAAUGCCAAAGGCAGCCGACAAAGAACAAUGGGGACAAGGCGGAAUUGCGAGCGGCAGCAGCUCUAGCUCAUCAGCUUACGUGUGUUUGAAGCUCGUGCCAUUGUCAGUGCUGCCAUCACCGGCUACCACAACAUUUCUACAUAGAACGCUUCGCAGUCGCUGACCAUCACCCACCCAUUCACACAGAUACACGGUAUUUGGUAUAUCAGCUGCGAACGAAAAAUAUUGCUUUUUGAACAGAUUUACAGCGAAACAAUACCAAGGAGUAGCCGCAAUCAUCAAGAAACUAAACUCCCAAGUCAUCAAAACGUCUUCAAACCCUGCAAUGCAAAGGAACUACUCAUUUCAGCCAACAUCCUCAUCUUCGGAUCUUGAGGGACUUCAGUUGAAUUCUUGCAUGUAAGCCGUAUGGGAUUUUUCUUGUGAUUAACACUUGAAUUGCAGCCAUCAUUAGCCAAGCGGUCUCCCAUAUUGACAUUCUUAGUGUACGCUGUGGUAUGCUGCGUGCUCACUCAACUCGUCCUGUUUCAAUUGAGGAGCUUACGUAAUCUCUUAGGAAUGUGAAAAUCGUUGGAUCUCUGCUCUUUUACCCAUGAUUUUACAAAUAAGAUGUUGAACCUAGCCUGCCGUACUCCAUACUCUUCACUUUCCUAACCAUUGGGCUAUUGUAAGACCGAUUUUAAUAUUUGUAGCGAUGCAUCACAGUCGAACUGUUCCUGUGAGUGUCUGGUGCCAGAAAAGUUUCCUCUCCAUUCGCGCUCAAAAUUUUGGAUAUCUUUAACAGGAGAGCGGCUGCCAUCCAGCUAAGAUAUCGUAUUUUUUAUACAAACUCAUAUGUUACUCAGCUUGUAGUCUGGUAUCAAGCAUUACCUUUCGUUUACUUUUCCAGCAAUGUGACGCAGUUGAGCGGUACCUGCGUGCAUGUGCAUAGAGCGUGUGGAGACGAGAGUGCGACAAUUUAAAUUGCUUUCUUGAAUGUGUCAAAAGCCUACAACAAGUCCCCGGCAGCAACAGUCAUUGGGAUUAAUAACAAAGUGAUUGGUCUUUGAGCAAAACUCGAACAAAAUGCUUCUUUUGUUUCAAAUUCUCUUUUAGCACAUAUGAAUGUAGCUUUUUUGAGCCAGAGCCUACAGCUUAACUUGCAACUGGGAUACUUGCAACUUGAUAGCUGGGAAAACGGAUCACCUUCGAAAACGACGAAAUGACACUUCUGAGAUUGGUAUGGGCACACAUGUUUUCGGAUAUUUUGUUCUUCUUGUAGAUAUGUAUAGACACAUAAUCCUAUACCGAAUCUUUCUGAAAUCUAAGCAAUCGUCGUAUGGACGGACAGGAGUCAUUUCGCCAUCGCGUAUCCGAUGUGGUGGAAGAUCCAGACACGGGACAGUUACAAAAGCUAAGACAUUGCAAUAGAAAUCAUUUCUUUAAUAUUUUGUAGAAAUGUGCCGCAGUUGAACAGUGCCUGCGCAUAUUGGUGGACUGUCAAAAAAUGACAAGCUGCAAGGAAAUUUCGCUCAAGUCUUCGAUGGGUAGUCCGCCCAGCACAUGUAAAUUAUAUUAAGUGUGUGGAACAAAAUCUUUCUUUAUUUUUGUAGAGUUGUGGUUGCAAUAGGCCGUGCUUGUCAUGUCUAAAACUCAUAUACAAAAAGCAUAGCCUCGGAAUUACUACCGUAAACAAGAGGGAUUAAUCGACAGCUUCAGGCAGAACCAUGUGUAUACUGUCUUUUGUCAUAGUAGCGGAUCGUUGGGACCAGGAAAAUAUGCGUUUUUACUAAAGUUUUCCUUUCUCACUGAAAAUUGGUUCAUUUUAAUGUAUUCAUUACAGUGCUUGUAACAAUCUAAAAUAUCCAGUCGGCAAAUUGAGCUUGGGAUGAUCCGACCACACAGCCAAACUUACACGUGCACUUUCACCUGUUUUUAAUACCUACCCGUGUACAUGAAGCAAAAUUUCUUGAGGCAAUGGGAAUCAAAUGCCAACUUGAAAGCAAUAACACCAACACUCAAUCGACCGAAAUCCACAUCUAUACAACACGUCGACUUGGCAUUGAAUUGAAGAAUCUCCCUAUCAACUCGAACAGCAAGGUCAGGUCUGUUACAAUGUCUGUGGCAAUGAUGGAGUGCUUUAUAGAAGCAGCUGUUUGUCUCCUUGUUUGUCUGGUUGCCUGUCUUGGCACAUAGGACCCUCUACAGAGUGAGAAAUUUGAGCGGUUUUUAAUUACCUUUGCACUUCUUGCAGCGAUGUUUCACAGUUGAAUGUGCCUGUGGGCAUCGACUAGGUAGGAACGAACGAAAGUCAACUUCUUUGGAGUGGACAAGCUAGCGAGCAACCAAUCAGUUACCAGUUACUCUACACACCGCUCUUAACAAGUCUUGAGUCUGCGGCUGUUGUUUUGUUGCUGCAAAUCGUUAAAGGGAAUCAAGAACGAUGCAUCAAGUCCAUCCAUUUAGACUUCUACCAAUCAAUCAUGCGACCGCCACAUCGACAACUGCCUACAAUCGCUAAUGCUAUGCACCAAACGAGCAGAAUACAUCGAGAGAACAUCGAGUAUAGCAACAAAACGCAAGCAAGCUAACGAGACUGUCGGGCGCCUAUUUUAAAAUUAGAUGUAAACUUAACGUUUCUACAUUACAGGCAAGUUGUCUGCCCGAAAUGGGUCGCUUGUGUCUUUUACGAGGGUGCAGAGCUUCGUAGCCCAUAACCUGUCGCCGAAAGAAUCAAUCAACGCUCGGACGAGACUAGGCCAAGUUCAAGAUAGCCAAUUGCCGCCUGUCGCUGUCCAAAGCAUGGGCGUCAAGAGCGACCUGGAGACAGUCCUGCGAGCGAUGUGCUAGCCUAAGCACGUAAUGCAAUUGGCACCGCACAGAGAUGUGCGUUCGGUCCACGCUAAAGGGAAACAAAUGCGUUUGGACCGAGAGCCGCUACACCGCACCAUCACCAGCAUUCGCUGAAGAAGUGAGCUGAUGUGUUGUCGUUGUUACAGGGCUGCUGCCUGCAAGUACGCUACGGGCAUCCUAGCGUCGUCGUCGCUAAUUAAUCGUCACUUUCAGCGUUGUGUUUGAAUAACAUCCGGACAGAUCAGCAGCCAACGACGUGUAGCCAGUCGUUUAUCGCAAACGGGAACCAAUUGCGAUUAGUGUUCAAGCAUCCGAAACGGAAGAAAUGCAGCAGCCACAAUUCAAGACAGUCAAAAUCGAUUAGCAACUUACAGAUCAUAGGAGAAGUUGAUGAAACCACUUGCCAACGGGUUGUCGCUUCAUUUGUCCUUUCCUCCCGUAGGUAGUCCAGAAUAAGAGGUACCCAUAUUCAUCGCAAAAGGGAAUCAAAUGCGAUUAGUGUUCGAAGACCGAGCUAGCCAGCCUAUUGAAAUGCUACGCUCUACCAGUUGAGUCCUUAACUCCUGGCCCGCCGAUCCAACAUACCGCAAAAGGGAAACAAAUGCGAGAUGGUACCACAGUCGAGCUCCCCGUUGAGCUCCUGGUAAAACUCUUCAUUUCUUCAGCACAGCAAUCGUAAAGGGAAUCCAAUGCGAUGUACAGCGACAGCGGCAGGCAGGGUCCCAAAUCCCUAAAGGUAUAAUAGUAGUGUUAUUGGUCUAUGUACACUUUCCAGGAACGGCAAAUACCCCCAUUUGAGUCAGAAAUAUUGUUCCACCAGGUCCAGAUCCAUGGCUGUGGCCUGGCCCACUAACAUAUAUUGCCGCGCCUUCCUGCACACUCGUCACUUUGGUCUCAAAGGGAAUCCAAGAGACACGCGCCCGCGGUACAGGCAACUUAAACACGCUCUUCCUUUGUUUUAGUUUCCUUCAAAGUUCUCAUUACAGCUACUCGUGAUACUCAUUGCAUUUGUAAUGAAAUUGUUAGCUAUCAUAUUAUGUUGUCUUUAAAUACCUUGCGUAGAUAAUGUUAAUGUUUGUUGCUUUAAAAUUUUAUUUAAAUGUAAGAUAUGUUGUAUUUUGACAUGUAAAUUGAAAAGCCAAAGCAGACUUCCCCUGAAGAGUGCAUCCGGACAUCCUUCAAAAGGCUUCGGGAGCUGUCCAUGUUACACCUAGACGUACCAGUUGUUGCCGCAGAGAUCAUAUCCACGACCACGACUUUUAGAGCGAGAUCCAUGACAGUGAGGAGUGGGAUCAGCAUACAGAGGACAUACAUUUUCGAAAUUUUGAUACAUUCGACCUUCUACUAACUUCGAGGCAUAUUCAUUGGGCUCUUUGAAUCAUCUAAUCGCAUCCUAUGAGCUCUCAAAAGAAGGCUGGGAGUACACGCUAUUGAUAAUUUUCGCUACGAGAACCGGCUGAGAUAUUUCUGGGAGCCCCCUGCUGUUCAAUUCGACAUCGCCAAUAGCUUCUGCGAUCGCUUUCGGGAGCAGCAUAGCAACUGGUCCGAGAUCUGAGAUGCUGGCCAAAUAUCGUUAUUCUGACCACUUCCAUCGAUCUGCACAAGUUAUUUCGUUGUUCGUACCACUGGCUUGUUGACACUGCUUUGAAACUGAUGUCAAGCUUAAACCGUUUUCCAACAUUUGCCUUUUCUUCGCACUGCUGCAGUUGGACACGGUGAUCGUCAUUACCAUUACCGUUUGCUGUAGCAUUCAAUUAUCGUUUCGCUACUAGUAGCUUAACUAAUGACUUUGACGCUCAACUUUGCUUGUGGAGGAGAUUAGGAGAUUUUUCGCGGAUUGCAAGUUAAAUAAAUUUUGGAUAUUGACUGCAGCGUGGGAUUCAAUAUGAUUGUGAAAUUAUUUUUCGACGGCGGCGAUGGAUGCAAGCUUCAGGACUGCGGCGUGGGAUAACAAUUUAGCUACGUGGGACUAAUAGGGAAUUUAGGCAAGGUCGUUAGGGAACUGUUUUUUCGAUCGUGAAAAGUUGAAGCAACUGGGAACACAUUUUGACGGCGGCGUGGGAACCAGCAAGCACUUAUACAGAUGACUUCAGCGGCGUGGGAGCUGGUCAGUUUAUGACUGCGGCGUGGGAAAGGAUGGCGGAUUGACUGCGGCGUGGGAACUGAGGGCGGAUUGACAGCGGCGUGGGAACUGAGGGCGGAUUGACGGCGGCGGGGGAUGCGGUUGCUGACGGCGGCGGGGGAGAACUUGACUGUGGUGUGGAAUAUCUGGACUGCUGCGCGGGAGAAUCUGACGGCGGCGGGGGAUCCUCUUCGGAUUAGAAUCAUCGGUGGUUUUCCAAAAAUAUUGGCACAACGUAAACUUAGCAAAUCACAAUAUACUUUUUUUGAUGGUUCAAAGCUGAUAUACUUGAUGAUGCCGUGAUCACCGUCCCAAAAAAAAAAACCCACACCCCUGACUAAGCUUUUUAUGGAAAUUUCAUCAUUUCUACACACACAUUUUAUUUUACACUUCUGGAAUACCGGAAAGCAACCAACAUUCAUAUUUAUACCGAUGGUCCAAUUAAUUCAACGCUGCAAC